GUGAGGAAUAUUGCGCAAUGGAGGCAACUCUGACGCAGCCAUGCCGCGUGCAGGAAGAAGGCGCUACGCGUUGUAAACUGCUUUUAACCGGGAAGAAACCCCAGGACGUGUCCUGGGUUGACGGUACCGGAGGAAUAAGCACCGGCUAACUUCGUGCCAGCAGCCGCGGUAAUACGAAGGGUGCAAGCGUUAUCCGGCUUCAUUGGGUUUAAAGGGUGCGUAGGCGGAGCGUUAAGUAAGUGGUGAAAUUCUGCAGCUUAACUGGAGACUUGCCAUUGAUACUGGCGCUCUUGAGUGCGCUUGAAGUGGUCGGAAUGUGCCGUGUAGCGGUGAAAUGCUUAGAUAUGGCACAGAACACCAAUUGCGAAGGCAGCUCACUAAGGCGAUACUGACGCUGAGGCACGAAAGCGUGGGGAUCGAACAGGAUUAGAUACCCUUGUAGUCC
This 445-nucleotide ribosomal RNA is filed under the name uncultured bacterium. RNAcentral's name for it is "partial 16S ribosomal RNA". It matches the Rfam family "Bacterial small subunit ribosomal RNA", at positions 354 to 796 of the family's 1533-position model. The record is from RNAcentral.